UACGGGGGGGGCAAGCGUUGUUCGGAAUUACUGGGCGUAAAGGGCGCGUAGGCGGCCUGCUAAGUCGGAUGUGAAAUCCCUCGGCUCAACCGAGGAACUGCAUCCGAUACUGGCGGGCUUGAAUCCGGGAGAGGGAUGUGGAAUUCCAGGUGUAGCGGUGAAAUGCGUAGAUAUCUGGAGGAACACCGGUGGCGAAGGCGGCAUCCUGGACCGACACUGACGCUGAGGAGCGAAAGCCAGGGGAGCAAACGGG
RNAcentral lists this ribosomal RNA (253 nucleotides) under uncultured bacterium. RNAcentral describes it as "partial 16S ribosomal RNA". It matches the Rfam family "Bacterial small subunit ribosomal RNA", at positions 524 to 776 of the family's 1533-position model. The record is from RNAcentral.